Molecule: long non-coding RNA, 818 nt
Organism: Cavia porcellus (domestic guinea pig)
Lineage: Eukaryota; Metazoa; Chordata; Mammalia; Rodentia; Caviidae
Exons: 3
Source: RefSeq, a predicted model, not a curated record
UAAAGCAGGCAGGAGAUGGGCCAGCACCCCUAGGGGUGGCUUUUCCCACCUGAUGCAUCCUGGGGCCACUCUGCAGCCACACAGUGGGUUGAUGAGGCCUCUGGCACUGGAGUGGAGAGACUGGCACUGCCACUCAGGUGUCUGGAGGAUCUGUCAAUGAAGGAGGUGGCAGCACUGGAAAGCAGGGUGGACCUCAGAGAACAGACCAACUUCUGGGGGGCAACUCAAAGUCCCCUUUCCUCAGACUUACUUGGUUGUCAAAGAGAAAGCAAAACGCCCAUUCUCUCUAAUGAUUCCAGCAGUAAGUGGAGACCUUCCUGCUCUUGCAAACCCAACAACAAUGCAGACAAUGUGAAUCCGGGGUCCAGGGGAUAACUCCUGGGCCUUCGACAUGCUGCCUACCUCUACCAGCAAAUCCCCCACGCUCCUGAAGCCACUUCCUCCUGAAAGCCUUUUGAGAUGCUCACACCAAACUGUCUCUUCCUUCUCUGACAAUCUGCAGCUGUGUGGACUCCAAGUCAUGGGACAGGACUUGUGAGUUCUGUCUCUCUAUCAGGACUCAAAACUGGUGCGGUAGGGACUGGGCCCCGGAGGACUGGGACGCUGGCUCCACACCUGGCUCUGGGGUCUUGGGGCAUCACUGCUUUCUAUGCUACUUCUCAUCUGGGAAAUGGGCAUAUGACCCUGGCCACAAAGAAGUGAUCGCACAGGUAUUAGCAGGAUGCCCACCAGCACAAAGUAGGCCCUCAGGAAAAGAACUAACAAGUGAAUAAAAAUGAAUGGAUAGAAGGCAAGGAUAGAUGGAUGGAUAGAUGGAU